RNAcentral lists this long non-coding RNA (752 nucleotides) under Ursus maritimus (polar bear). RNAcentral's name for it is "lncRNA (ENSUMAG00000018110.1)". The record is from RNAcentral. Lineage: Eukaryota; Metazoa; Chordata; Mammalia; Carnivora; Ursidae.
GUUGAAGCAACAACAGAAAGAACAGCUCUGUGCCUGUGUCUACAAAACCGAUGGAAAUGGGUUUUCCCCUUGCCUUUUCCCACCAGUGCCGCAGACAGCAGUAUCUGUGGCAGCAGCAAACCCUGGCACCUCUCCAAGAGCAUUCUCUCCCCCGAUGUUAUCCCUUCUCAGGGUUUCUAAAAUGCCAGCAGCACUCCAGCCCCGAAUUAACCAGAUUGUCAGCACACCUCAGGUUUAAGCUGUGAAAUCUGCAGACACGUAGGUACAAGACAAAGAUUUUAAUGAAUGAACCACUACCAAGAGAUGCUCACAAGCUACGUCUGGACAGUGUGGCUCGGGCGACCCAGAGGAAGCAUCGGUACUAUUCCAUCAGUGAGGACCCCUCUGCGCUCUCUUCUCUUCUCCUCCGGAUGUAUCUCCCGUGUUCCACUCGCGUCCUCGGCUAGAUGUUCUUUAAUAUCUAGAAAGAAUUCUAGAUAACAGAUGAGGUCAGACUGGUGAAGAAUUCAAGAAAAGGAAACAAGUGAUUUGUCACCUGCACCUCUGCGUCAUUCAUGCCAACCACAGCCAACCACCCCCCCUUUCUCCUCCUAUCAUACUACACAUGCCACAGUGUACAAAUGUGGAGAGUCCUCCUAAAUCUCCCCAAAAGUCUUCACUCUCAGUGUUGAAGCAGAGGAUCCUGUAAUUGCCUUCAAGUGAGUUGGCAGGGGAGUGACAUGAAAUCUUCGAGUGAAAUAUAGACCUUUUCU